RNAcentral lists this ribosomal RNA (497 nucleotides) under uncultured bacterium. RNAcentral's name for it is "partial 16S ribosomal RNA". It matches the Rfam family "Bacterial small subunit ribosomal RNA", at positions 28 to 507 of the family's 1533-position model. The record is from RNAcentral.
GAUGAACGCUGGCGGCGUGCCUAAUACAUGCAAGUCGAGCGAACAGACGAGGAGCUUGCUCCUCUGACGUUAGCGGCGGACGGGUGAGUAACACGUGGAUAACCUACCUAUAAGACUGGGAUAACUUCGGGAAACCGGAGCUAAUACCGGAUAAUAUAUUGAACCGCAUGGUUCAAUAGUGAAAGACGGUUUUGCUGUCACUUAUAGAUGGAUCCGCGCCGCAUUAGCUAGUUGGUAAGGUAACGGCUUACCAAGGCAACGAUGCGUAGCCGACCUGAGAGGGUGAUCGGCAACACUGGAACUGAGACACGGUCCAGACUCCUAGGGGAGGCAGCAGUAGGGAAUCUUCCGAAAUGGGCGAAAGCCUGACGGAGCAACGCCGCGUGAGUGAUGAAGGUCUUCGGAUCGUAAAACUCUGUUAUUAGGGAAGAACAAAUGUGUAAGUAACUAUGCACGUCUUGACGGUACCUAAUCAGAAAGCCACGGCUAACUACGUG